GGCGAACGGGUGCGUAACACGUGAGCAACCUGCCCCGAAGACCGGGACAAGCCGGGGAAACCUGGUCUAAUACCGGAUGUCCUCGGCCGAUCGCAUGGUCGGGCGAGGAAAUGGAUUCCGCUUCGGGAUGGGCUCGCGGUCUAUCAGCUUGUUGGUGGGGUAAUGGCCUACCAAGGCGACGACGGAUAGCUGGUCUGAGAGGACGAUCAGCCACACUGGGACUGAGACACGGCCCAGAACUCAUAGGGGAGGCAGCAGUGGGUAAUCUUGCGCAAUGGGUGGAAACCCUGACAGCAGUCGACAGCCGCGUGCGGGAUGCACAGGCCUUCGGGUUGUAAACCGCUUUCAGCAGGGACGAACAUUGACGGUACCUGCAGAUAGAAGGCCCGGCCAACUACGUGCCAGCCGCCGCGG
RNAcentral lists this ribosomal RNA (414 nucleotides) under uncultured bacterium. Its description in RNAcentral is "bacterial SSU rRNA". It matches the Rfam family "Bacterial small subunit ribosomal RNA", at positions 97 to 520 of the family's 1533-position model. The record is from RNAcentral.